Molecule: ribosomal RNA, 253 nt
Filed under: uncultured bacterium
Lineage: Bacteria
Description: partial 16S ribosomal RNA
Rfam family: Bacterial small subunit ribosomal RNA
Source: RNAcentral
UACCGAGACUGCAAGCGUUAUUCGGAUUCACUGGGCGUAACGGGUGCGCAGGCGGCCGAGUGUGUUAGGCGUGAAAGCCUGAGGCUCAACCUCAGAAUUGCACCUAAAUCUACACGGCUAGAGCAUUGGAGAGGGUAGCGGAAUUCACGGUGUAGCAGUGAAAUGCGUAGAUAUCGUGAGGAACACCAGAGGCGAAGGCGGCUACCUGGACAAGUGCUGACGCUCAGGCACGAAAGCGUGGGGAGCAAAAGGG